This 1486-nucleotide ribosomal RNA is filed under the name uncultured bacterium. Its description in RNAcentral is "bacterial SSU rRNA". It matches the Rfam family "Bacterial small subunit ribosomal RNA". The record is from RNAcentral.
AGAGUUUGAUUAUGGCUCAGGACGAACGCUGGCGGCGUGCUUAACACAUGCAAGUCGAACGGAAAGGCCCUGCUUUUGUGGGGUGCUCGAGUGGCGAACGGGUGAGUAACACGUGAGUAACCUGCCCUUGACUUUGGGAUAACUUCAGGAAACUGGGGCUAAUACCGGAUAGGAGCUCCUGCUGCAUGGUGGGGGUUGGAAAGUUUCGGCGGUUGGGGAUGGACUCGCGGCUUAUCAGCUUGUUGGUGGGGUAGUGGCUUACCAAGGCUUUGACGGGUAGCCGGCCUGAGAGGGUGACCGGCCACAUUGGGACUGAGAUACGGCCCAGACUCCUACGGGAGGCAGCAGUGGGGAAUAUUGCACAAUGGGCGGAAGCCUGAUGCAGCAACGCCGCGUGCGGGAUGACGGCCUUCGGGUUGUAAACCGCUUUCGCCUGUGACGAAGCGUGAGUGACGGUAAUGGGUAAAGAAGCACCGGCUAACUACGUGCCAGCAGCCGCGGUGAUACGUAGGGUGCGAGCGUUGUCCGGAUUUAUUGGGCGUAAAGGGCUCGUAGGUGGUUGAUCGCGUCGGAAGUGUAAUCUUGGGGCUUAACCCUGAGCGUGCUUUCGAUACGGGUUGACUUGAGGAAGGUAGGGGAGAAUGGAAUUCCUGGUGGAGCGGUGGAAUGCGCAGAUAUCAGGAGGAACACCAGUGGCGAAGGCGGUUCUCUGGGCCUUUCCUGACGCUGAGGAGCGAAAGCGUGGGGAGCGAACAGGCUUAGAUACCCUGGUAGUCCACGCUGUAAACGGUGGGUACUAGGUGUGGGGUCCAUUCCACGGGUUCCGUGCCGUAGCUAACGCUUUAAGUACCCCGCCUGGGGAGUACGGCCGCAAGGCUAAAACUCAAAGGAAUUGACGGGGCCCCGCACAAGCGGCGGAGCAUGCGGAUUAAUUCGAUGCAACGCGUAGAACCUUACCUGGGUUUGACAUGGAUCGGGAGUGCUCAGAGAUGGGUGUGCCUCUUUUGGGGUCGGUUCACAGGUGGUGCAUGGCUGUCGUCAGCUCGUGUCGUGAGAUGUUGGGUUAAGUCCCGCAACGAGCGCAACCCUUGUUCACUGUUGCCAGCACGUUAUGGUGGGGACUCAGUGGAGACCGCCGGGGUCAACUCGGAGGAAGGUGGGGAUGACGUCAAGUCAUCAUGCCCCUUAUGUCCAGGGCUUCACGCAUGCUACAAUGGCUGGUACAGAGAGUGGCGAGCCUGUGAGGGUGAGCGAAUCUCGGAAAGCCGGUCUCAGUUCGGAUUGGGGUCUGCAACUCGACCUCAUGAAGUCGGAGUCGCUAGUAAUCGCAGAUCAGCAACGCUGCGGUGAAUACGUUCCCGGGGCUUGUACACACCGCCCGUCAAGUCAUGAAAGUUGGUAACACCCGAAGCCGGUGGCCUAACCGUUGUGGGGGAGCCGUCGAAGGUGGGACUGGUGAUUAGGACUAAGUCGUAACAAGGUAUCC